This 779-nucleotide ribosomal RNA is filed under the name uncultured Neocallimastigales. Its description in RNAcentral is "partial large subunit ribosomal RNA". It matches the Rfam family "Eukaryotic large subunit ribosomal RNA", at positions 26 to 618 of the family's 3401-position model. Lineage: Eukaryota; Fungi; Neocallimastigomycota; Neocallimastigomycetes; Neocallimastigales. The record is from RNAcentral.
CGUCUAUAUACGUAUAGCAUAUCAAUAAGCGGAGGAAAAGAAACUAACAAGGAUUCCCUUAGUAACGGCGAGUGUAAGCGGGAAGAGCUCAAAUUUGAAAUCUUCAAGGUUCUACCUUGACGAAUUGUAGUUUAAAGAAGUGUUUUCUGUUAGAGGAGUAGGCAAAAGUUCCUUUGAAAUAGGGACAUCAUAGAGGGUGAGAAUCCCGUAUUUGGUUAUUCUUUCUAGCUGUGUGAUACACUUUCAAAGAGUCGGAUUGUUUGGGAAUGCAGUCCAAAAUGGGUGGUAAAUUUCAUCUAAAGCUAAAUAUUGGCGAGAGACCGAUAGCGAACAAGUACCGUGAGGGAAAGAUGAAAAGAACUUUGAAAAGAGAGUUAAACAGUACGUGAAAUUGUCAAAAGGGAAGCGUUUGACACCAGUGUUGUUUUUCCGAAAAUCAAUUAAGAGUGGCUUGAUUUUGUGUUGUAUUGACCUUAUCAGCUUUCUUCACUCUUUUUCGAGUCUUUCUUAAUGCACUUUUCGGUUAACAAGUCAACAUCAAUUUCUUUUGUUGUAAAAGGGUAUUUGGAAGGUGGCUUUCUUUUCGGAGAAAGUGUUUAUAGCCUUAUACCUCUACAAUCGGAGAGAUUGAGGUCUGCAGCGUAGAUCCUUCGGGGCUAGAUACACUUGUGCUAAGUUAUAGCUUUUCAUAGACAACUUGUUGACUAUGUUUAGUCAUGUAGCUUACCCGCUUGUGCUAUUUUACCUACGCUUAGGAUGUUGAGUCAUCACACAUCUCU